RNAcentral lists this ribosomal RNA (377 nucleotides) under uncultured organism. RNAcentral describes it as "partial 16S ribosomal RNA". It matches the Rfam family "Bacterial small subunit ribosomal RNA", at positions 526 to 896 of the family's 1533-position model. The record is from RNAcentral.
CGGGGGGGGCAAGCGUUGUUCGGAAUUACUGGGCGUAAAGGGCGCGUAGGCGGUUUGCUAAGUUGGAUGUGAAAACUCUGGGCUUAACCCAGAGCCUGCAUCCAAAAACUGGCUGACUUGAGUACUGGGAGGGGGAAAGCGGAAUUCCUGGUGUAGGCGGUGAAAUGCGUAGAUAUCAGGAGGAACACCGGUGGCGAAGGCGGCUUUCUGGACAGUAACUGACGCUGAGGCGCGAAAGCUAGGGGGAGCAAACAGGAUUAGAUACCCUGGUAGUCCUAGCCCUAAACGAUGGAUACUUGGUGUGAGGGGGAUUGAAUCCCUUCGUGCCGUAGCUAACGCAAUAAGUAUCCCGCCUGGGGAGUACGGUCGCAAGGCUG